Molecule: ribosomal RNA, 463 nt
Filed under: Vreelandella stevensii
Lineage: Bacteria; Pseudomonadati; Pseudomonadota; Gammaproteobacteria; Oceanospirillales; Halomonadaceae
Description: partial 16S ribosomal RNA
Rfam family: Bacterial small subunit ribosomal RNA
Source: RNAcentral
CCUACGGGAGGCUGCAGUGGGGAAUAUUGGACAAUGGGCGAAAGCCUGAUCCAGCCAUGCCGCGUGUGUGAAGAAGGCCUUCGGGUUGUAAAGCACUUUCAGUGGGGAAGAAAGCCUUGGGGCUAAUACCCUCGAGGAAGGACAUCACCCACAGAAGAAGCACCGGCUAACUCCGUGCCAGCAGCCGCGGUAAUACGGAGGGUGCGAGCGUUAAUCGGAAUUACUGGGCGUAAAGCGCGCGUAGGCGGUCUGAUAAGCCGGUUGUGAAAGCCCCGGGCUCAACCUGGGAACGGCAUCCGGAACUGUCAGGCUAGAGUGCAGGAGAGGAAGGUAGAAUUCCCGGUGUAGCGGUGAAAUGCGUAGAGAUCGGGAGGAAUACCAGUGGCGAAGGCGGCCUUCUGGACUGACACUGACGCUGAGGUGCGAAAGCGUGGGUAGCAAACAGGAUUAGAUACCCCUGAUC